AUACGGAGGAUGCGAGCGUUAUCCGGAUUUAUUGGGUUUAAAGGGUGCGUAGGCUGUGCGUUAAGUCAGGGGUGAAAUGCCGUCGCUCAACGACGGAGCUGCCCUUGAUACUGGCGUGCUGGAGUACGGAUGCCGUUGGAGGAAUGAGUGGUGUAGCGGUGAAAUGCUUAGAUAUCACUCAGAAAACCGAUUGCGAAGGCAUCUGACGAAUCCGUCACUGACGCUGAGGCACGAAAGCGUGGGGAUAGAACAGGAUUAGAUACCCUGGUAUUCCACGCCGUAAACGAUGAUGACUAACCGUCGGCGAUAGACAGCCGGUGGCCAAGCGAAAGCGAUAAGUCAUCCACCUGGGGAGUACGUCGGCAACGAUGAAACUCAAAUGAAUUGACGGGG
RNAcentral lists this ribosomal RNA (393 nucleotides) under uncultured bacterium. RNAcentral's name for it is "partial 16S ribosomal RNA". It matches the Rfam family "Bacterial small subunit ribosomal RNA", at positions 523 to 918 of the family's 1533-position model. The record is from RNAcentral.